GACGAACGCUGGCGGCGUGCUUAACACAUGCAAGUCGUACGGUAAGGCCCUUUCGGGGGUACACGAGUGGCGCACGGGUGAGUAACACGUGAGUAACCUGCCCACAACUUUGGGAUAACGCUAGGAAACUGGUGCUAAUACUGGAUAUGUGCUCCUGCUGCAUGGUGGGGGUUGGAAAGCUCCGGCGGUUGUGGAUGGACUCGCGGCCUAUCAGCUUGUUGGUGGGGUAGUGGCCUACCAAGGCGGCGACGGGUAGCCGGCCUGAGAGGGUGACCGGCCACGUUGGGACUGAGAUACGGCCCAGACUCCUACGGGAGGCAGCAGUGGGGAAUAUUGCACAAUGGGCGCAAGCCUGAUGCAGCAACGCCGCGUGCGGGAUGACGGCCUUCGGGUUGUAAACCGCUUUCAGCAGGGACGAAGCUUUUUGUGACGGUACCUGCAGAAGAAGCACCGGCUAACUACGUG
RNAcentral lists this ribosomal RNA (465 nucleotides) under uncultured bacterium. Its description in RNAcentral is "partial 16S ribosomal RNA". It matches the Rfam family "Bacterial small subunit ribosomal RNA", at positions 28 to 507 of the family's 1533-position model. The record is from RNAcentral.